AACAAACGCUGGCGGCGUGCCUAAUACAUGCAAGUCGAACGGGGAAAGUCUUCGGAUGAGUACUAGUGGCGCACGGGUGAGGAACACGUAGAUAAUCUGCCCCUAGGCGGGGAAUAACUGGUCGAAAGAUCAGCUAAUACCGCAUAAGACCACGACUUCUGAGGAAGGUGGGGUUAAAGGCUUCGGCCACCUAGGGAUGAGUCUGCGUCCGAUUAGCUAGUUGGUGAGGUAAGAGCUCACCAAGGCGACGAUCGGUAACUGGUCUGAGAGGAUGACCAGUCACUCUGGGACUGAGACACGGCCCAGACUCCUACGGGAGGCAGCAGUAGGGAAUAUUGCACAAUGGAGGAAACUCUGAUGCAGCGACGCCGCGUGAGUGAUGAAGGCCCUCGGGUUGUAAAGCUCUGUUCUUAGGGAAUAAAAAAAUGAAGGUACCUAAGGAGAAAGGACCGGCUAACUUCGUGCCAGCAGCCGCGGUAA
Molecule: ribosomal RNA, 480 nt
Filed under: uncultured bacterium
Lineage: Bacteria
Description: partial 16S ribosomal RNA
Rfam family: Bacterial small subunit ribosomal RNA
Source: RNAcentral